GAAAGUGGGGGAUUCGCAAGGACCUCACGUUAGGGGAGCGGCCGAUGUCCGAUUAGCUAGUUGGUGGGGUAACGGCCCACCAAGGCGACGAUCGGUAGCUGGUCUGAGAGGAUGAUCAGCCACACUGGGACUGAGACACGGCCCAGACUCCUACGGGAGGCAGCAGUGGGGAAUUUUGGACAAUGGGGGCAACCCUGAUCCAGCCAUGCCGCGUGCGGGAAGAAGGCCUUCGGGUUGUAAACCGCUUUUAGUCGGGAAGAAAAGGCGCGAGUUAAUACCUCGUGUUGUUGACGGUACCGGCGGAAUAAGCACCGGCUAACUACGUGCCAGCAGCCGCGGUAAUACGUAGGGUGCGAGCGUUAAUCGGAAUUACUGGGCGUAAAGCGUGCGCAGGCGGUUCGUUGUGUCGGUGGUGAAAGCCCCGGGCUUAACCUGGGAAUGGCCAUGGAAACUGGCGAACUGGAGUGUGGCAGAGGGGGGUGGAAUUCCGCGUG
RNAcentral lists this ribosomal RNA (494 nucleotides) under uncultured bacterium. Its description in RNAcentral is "bacterial SSU rRNA". It matches the Rfam family "Bacterial small subunit ribosomal RNA", at positions 202 to 675 of the family's 1533-position model. The record is from RNAcentral.